GAUGAACGCUGGCGGCGUGCAUAACACAUUCAAGUCGAGCGGAGCUGUGUGGAAUGAACCUUCGGGGAAUGAAGUACAGCUUAGUGGCGGACGGGUGAGUAACGCGUGAGCAACCUGCCUCUAUGUGUGGGAUAACGUCGGGAAACUGACGCUAAUACCGCAUGGUACGUAUUUGGCGCAUGGCAGAUACGUCAAAGAUUUAUUGCAUAGAGAUGGGCUCGCGUCUGAUUAGGUAGUUGGUGAGGUAACGGCCCACCAAGCCGACGAUCAGUAGCCGGACUGAGAGGUUGAACGGCCACAUUGGAACUGAGAUACGGUCCAG
This 322-nucleotide ribosomal RNA is filed under the name uncultured bacterium. RNAcentral's name for it is "bacterial SSU rRNA". It matches the Rfam family "Bacterial small subunit ribosomal RNA", at positions 28 to 334 of the family's 1533-position model. The record is from RNAcentral.